CAACCACACCCUCUUCUCCCUCACACCUCCUGCUAUCAUAACCCAACCCAAACCUCACCAUAAACGAACCCUCAUGGUCCCCCCUUCCUCUCCUUUCUCUCUUUCACGUUAUCAAGACCAUAACGACCUCUGUCAGAAGAAGAUAUUCCAUUUUACCCGUUUCUACGCGCUCUUGCUUCCCUUGGUUAGAAUUCGGAUUAAUGGUAGACGUAGGAUUUGAAGACUUUAAAUCCUAGUUUUUCAUUUGUCUUAGAACCAUCCAUAAAGAAGAACAAGAGGGGAUUUUCAUUUGGGGGCAGGGAAUUUUCGGAAUUUAUUGAAGGGCAAAUUCGGGUUUUUGGGGGGAAUUUCUUGUUGAAGAAGGAGAAGCUUCGAGAGGGAGCUAUAUAUUUGGGUCUGGACAGAGAUGGGGGAGGUUUUUAUUUCGGAGAAAAUUAGGAAAAGAAGAAGGGCGAGGGUUUUCUGAUUUUCAUGUUCUUCUUUCCAAUUUUCACUUCAUUGGCGUACAAAAAGCUUAGAGCUCUCUAUUAGUCUUUCUUUUGAUUUUCAAAACAGAAAAUACCAAAAAAAAAUAUCAGCUUCUGAUUUGUUUAACAAGAAAUGGAGUUUAGCUGAGGUCCGUCAACUGCUCGAGAGGUAUUUGUUCGUGGUUCCUACCGCUGCUGUGUCGCUGGUUCGAUUCCUGUUUGUCUGCUACUAUUACUUCAAAUUUCAGUGCCGAGUUCACUUGUAUUCAAUUUCAAACGAACUUAAUUGAAGAAUUUUGCAAUUUCAGAUGGCCGAAUGGUUUUAUCAAUUGCCCUUUCACGUUGGUUUGUUCCAAUAGAAAACCAUGUUCUUAUGUUCUGUUGAUGAGUCGGCGUCAUGCGGGUGUUACAUAAGUUUCAAUUGAAUUUAAGACAGGGUCCUUCAUUUAAAUGGUGUUAGUUGGGGUGCUGUGAGUGAGAUCAACAAGACGUAGGUGGCUCUUAUCAUAUUUCAAGCAUACCAACUCUUCUUUAUUCUAUUUUGUUACUAUCUUCUUUAUUAGUUUAUUGCC
Long non-coding RNA from Nicotiana tabacum (common tobacco), 1039 nucleotides. RefSeq lists it as uncharacterized. NCBI's taxonomy places the organism in Eukaryota, Viridiplantae, Streptophyta, Magnoliopsida, Solanales, Solanaceae. The record is from RefSeq and is a predicted model, not a curated record.